GCUGAGCGCCAUGCAGGGCCGUGCGUGUGGGAGGCUGUGGUGCUGGGAGCCCCGUGCUGCUGAGUGCUGCUGGCUGCGGUGCCCUGCAGAGCGGGGCACAGCGUGAUGCAAUGCCUGGCACGGCAUCUUUGGUAAGGCCAGAGUGCUGAGCUGCUGACCUUCCUGGGCUGCUGUUUUGUCUCUGAUUUGUGUUGUCCUUGCUACCCAAAAGGCUGUUGUCUCGUGGGUUGCUGGGCGCUGUGGUUUGCUGGUUAUUCCAACUGACCGGACUCAGUGCUUUGGGGAACCUUGUGCUGCAGUAAUUCUCCGUGCAGCCUGAGUCUUGUGCCACUUUGUGAUUUAUUGCCAUUUCAAAUUUCAAUUUACAGCAAUGAAAGGGGAGAGGACACUCUUGUGUGAAAUAUAAACAGCUUCAGGACCGAAAUAAGAAAAUUUUCCUAGAGAAAAAAAGACAGCAGAACCCAUCAGGCUGGCAGCGAGCAGGGCUGGGGGAGAUGUUCAUGCAGCACCGGAGGGUUCUUGAUCUCACUGCUGCCUGCGAGCUCAGCUGUCAGUGAGCUGCUCUGCUGCCCCGUCUGCUUGCAGUGCUCGGGACAGGGACCUGAUGGGCGCUUUGUGUGAUGCUCAUUCACAUUGGAGGUAUCUUUGCAACCGGGAUUCCGAGUCAGGAUUCCGAGCGAGGCCUCAUCGUGCAGCCACAGAGUGGGGAAGGGAGGGGAAAAAA
Non-coding RNA from Meleagris gallopavo (turkey), 724 nucleotides. NCBI's taxonomy places the organism in Eukaryota, Metazoa, Chordata, Aves, Galliformes, Phasianidae. The record is from RefSeq and is a predicted model, not a curated record.